CGCCUGGAAAACGGAAGACUUUGAAAGGGGAAUCAAUAUGUUAUUCAACUAUGGAAGGAAAGUACAUUUGCAACAGAAGAUCGAAAGAUCACCUCUUCUGUGCUCCUGGAAUCCUGUGUCCCACAAGUUUGCACCCUGUGGAGAAGGUCAACGAAAAAGGUUCACCACUUUUAUCACCAAGUCAGAAGAUUGCGAAAUCAGAUACCCUUUUGUCUGUGUGCUGUUCUCAAGCCUUCAGAAAAUAGCUGAGGGACACAGAAAUAUUUUUCUUCACCUCCUAUGUGCAGAUGAUGAAGUCUUAAACUUCUGCUGGAUAGAAACCUCUUAG
Molecule: long non-coding RNA, 328 nt
Filed under: Zonotrichia albicollis (white-throated sparrow)
Lineage: Eukaryota; Metazoa; Chordata; Aves; Passeriformes; Passerellidae
Description: lncRNA (ENSZALG00000007884.1)
Source: RNAcentral